CGCGUGAGAAUCUGCCUUGAGGAUGGGGACAACAGUGGGAAAUCGCUGCUAAUACCCAAUAUGCCUAACGGUGAAAUAUUUAUAGCCUUGAGAGGAGCUCGCGUCCGAUUAGUUAGUUGGUGGUGUAAGAGACUACCAAGGCAGCGAUCGGUAGCUGGUCUGAGAGGAUGAGCAGCCACACUGGGACUGAGACACGGCCCAGACUCCUACGGGAGGCAGCAGUGGGGAAUUUUCCGCAAUGGGCGAAAGCCUGACGGAGCAAUACCGCGUGAGGGAGGAAGGCUUUUGGGUUGUAAACCU
This 300-nucleotide ribosomal RNA is filed under the name uncultured Xenococcaceae cyanobacterium. RNAcentral's name for it is "bacterial SSU rRNA". It matches the Rfam family "Bacterial small subunit ribosomal RNA", at positions 114 to 432 of the family's 1533-position model. The record is from RNAcentral. Lineage: Bacteria; Bacillati; Cyanobacteriota; Cyanophyceae; Pleurocapsales; Xenococcaceae.